UACAGCCAUAUCACAUUGAAACACCGGUUCCCGUAUGAUCACUGAAGUUAAGCAACAUCAUUACCUAGAUGGGUGACCAUUUGGGAAUAACAGGUGCUGUAAG
Molecule: non-coding RNA, 103 nt
Organism: Acanthosepion pharaonis
Lineage: Eukaryota; Metazoa; Mollusca; Cephalopoda; Sepiida; Sepiidae
Source: the annotation of a GenBank genome assembly